CGGCCAGCGGAUUCGGAGCGGGCGACGGAGUGACCCAGACAGCUGUCCUCUCUGACACCCCCCGGCCUGCCUCUCUGUGGGCAUGAGAGCUGCCUACCUCUUCCUGCUAUUCCUGCCUGCAGGCCCGCUGGUUCAGGGGCAGUAUGACCUGGGCCUGCCGCCGCCAUUCCCUGACCAUGUCCAGUACACCCACUACGGCGACCAGAUCGACAACCCAGACUACUAUGAUUAUCAAGAGGUGAAUUCUCAGCCUUCGGAGGAACAGUUCCAGUUCCCGUCCCAACAGCAAGUCCAACAGGAAGUCAUAGCAGCCCCAACCCCAGAACCAGGAAAUGGCAGAGCUGGAGCCCACGGAGCCCAGACCUCUGGACUGCGGUGUGGAGCAGUACCCGUGCACCCGCCUCUACUCCAUACACAAGGCUUGCAAGCAGUGUCUGAACGAGGUCUGCUUCUACAGCCACCCCCGCGUGUAUGUCAUCAAUAAGGAGAUCUGUGUCCGCACAGUGUGUGCCCACGAGGAGCUCCUCCAAGCUGACCCCAAGUUCUCCAAAUGUGGCGUCAUGGUCAGCAGCGGCCUGUGUCAAUCCGUGGCAGCCUCCUGCACCAGGAGCUGUGGGCCUGCUAGGGUGGUGCUGGCAUCCUGAGUCCUGGCCCUCCUGGGAUCCGGGGCCCUCGGGCCCUGCCUGACCUGGUGCUUUCUUCCCCAUCCCCAUGUUCAUUUCAUUCUGUAAAAGUUAGUGGAAUGCAGCCGUGGGGGUUGUAGGCUGCGGUGCAGGCUCCUCCUUCGGCCUGUGGCCACCUCUGGGGCACAAUGGGGGCUCCCCACUGCCCAGUCUCUGCCCCUUGGGUUGGGGGGCAUCCCAGGCCUCUCCAUGGGACCUGGGUCCCUGACAGGCCUCAGCCUGUUUUGAUGACAGACAGUCCCCUAUUCAGUCCCCCAGGUAGGCUGUGUCCCCGCACCCCAGCUGGUCUGCUUGGAUUUCCUACAGCCCCCCUGGGCAUGGACCACCUUUAUUUUACACAAAAUUAAAAACAAGUUGUUAC
This is a non-coding RNA of Callithrix jacchus (white-tufted-ear marmoset), 1044 nucleotides long. Lineage: Eukaryota; Metazoa; Chordata; Mammalia; Primates; Cebidae. The record is from RefSeq and is a predicted model, not a curated record.